This 430-nucleotide ribosomal RNA is filed under the name uncultured bacterium. Its description in RNAcentral is "bacterial SSU rRNA". It matches the Rfam family "Bacterial small subunit ribosomal RNA", at positions 354 to 776 of the family's 1533-position model. The record is from RNAcentral.
GUGGGGAAUAUUGGACAAUGGGCGCAAGCCUGAUCCAGCAAUGCCGCGUGUGUGAAGAAGGCCUGAGGGUUGUAAAGCACUUUCGUUGGGGAAGAAGGGAAUGUGUUUAAGAGAUGCAUUUUUUGACGGUACCCGAAGAAGAAGCACUGGCUAACUCUGUGCCAGCAGCCGCGGUAAUACAGAGGGUGCAAGCGUUAAUCGGAAUGACUGGGCGUAAAGGGCAUGUAGGUGGCUAUUUAAGUUGACUGUGAAAUUUCUGGGCUUAACCUGGGAGCUGCAGUCAAGACUGGGUAGCUAGAGUCUGGGAGAGGGAAGUGGAAUUUCCGGUGUAGCGGUGAAAUGCGUAGAUAUCGGAAAGAACAUCAAUGGCGAAGGCAACUUUCUGGCCUAAGACUGACACUGAGGUGCGAAAGCGUGGGGAGCAAACAGG